UAUCCACACCAUUAACUCAUGACUAACGCCGUUAACGUUUUUAAAAAAACUUAAAAAAAAACGUUUUUAAAAAAACAAUUACUGUUCUCUGCCAUCCUUUUCUAUUUGUUUAUUUUCCCAAGAAUUCUUUUUUAUAACUUCUCCAUCUCUCUGAAUCGUACACCAGUGCUUGAACCAAGGCAUUCAUGGUUGUUAUUCAUCCAAUUUUUCAAAGGAGAAAAGGUUGCAUGCGGAGCAAACCCCACGGGCAAGAGAAACGCUGAUACAAGGGAGAACAGAGGAAAGAGAACAUAGAAGAAGGGGAAGAAAGGAAUUAUGAACGAGUGAAGCGGUGGUGGCCUGGCAUCUCCGGCGGUGCAACAGGCUUCGGCGACGGCUUCAAAUAGCGAUAACGAUGGCAGAUCUGCGGUGGAUCCUUCCAUUGACGAAGUGGUGUGUCACGGCAACGGCGGAUCUGCAGUGGAUUCUUUCAUCGACGCGCGAAGUGGUGCGGCACGACAUGGCAGAUCUGCCAUUUCUGGGUUGGGAAGGAGAGAAGAAAACCGUGGCAGAGGAAGGAAAAAAGAAGAUACGCAAAGAUCAGGAGGAAGAAGGAGAUUGCAGGAUUAAAGGCACGAAUUGUUAAACGGAAAGAUAACAGAGACAUUUAAUUAAAAUAAACUAAUCCAUAUGUCAUAUUACUAUUGGAAAACAGUACCAACAUGACUUAUGGUACUGCACCUAAGUUUUACCCAUCUAGAAAAGGGUUGAAGAUGCUCAUCAUAGAUGACGAAAGAGUUGUAUCUAACACUACACGCAACGUAGUGUAUCAAGAAGUCUUCGAUAAUAUUUGACAUCAUAAAAAAAUACUAAGCAAUUUAUUGAUCAUCUAAUUUGAAGGUGUAUUGACGUUUCUAUAAGGUUCUAUAGCUCAAAUAUGCUUUAUUGACAACAAGCUCGGUUAUGAAGACUUUAUCAUUAAUCAUGAACUACAAUUUCGAAUAAGGGUUCAUAUUGCUGUCAUUGUUAUGUUUAUCUUAUUUCAAUUUCCAUGUAAUGCAUUACUUAAAAACUUGGUUUUUAUUACUAUUCAAGUGUUG
Molecule: long non-coding RNA, 1079 nt
Organism: Lotus japonicus
Lineage: Eukaryota; Viridiplantae; Streptophyta; Magnoliopsida; Fabales; Fabaceae
Exons: 3
Source: RefSeq, a predicted model, not a curated record